Molecule: transfer RNA, 77 nt
Filed under: Candidatus Uhrbacteria bacterium
Lineage: Bacteria; Candidatus Uhriibacteriota
Description: tRNA-Arg
Rfam family: tRNA
About the family: Transfer RNA (tRNA) molecules are approximately 80 nucleotides in length. Their secondary structure includes four short double-helical elements and three loops (D, anti-codon, and T loops). Further hydrogen bonds mediate the characteristic L-shaped molecular structure. tRNAs have two regions of fundamental functional importance: the anti-codon, which is responsible for specific mRNA codon recognition, and the 3' end, to which the tRNAs corresponding amino acid is attached (by aminoacyl-tRNA synthetases). tRNAs cope with the degeneracy of the genetic code in two manners: having more than one tRNA (with a specific anti-codon) for a particular amino acid; and 'wobble' base-pairing, i.e. permitting non-standard base-pairing at the 3rd anti-codon position.
Source: RNAcentral
GCACCCGUAGCUCAGUUGGAUAGAGCAUCAGCUUGCGGAGCUGAGGGUCGUAGGUUCAAGUCCUGCCGGGUGCACCA